UGGGGAAUUUUGGACAAUGGGCGCAAGCCUGAUCCAGCAAUGCCGCGUGCAGGAUGAAGGCCUUCGGGUUGUAAACUGCUUUUGUACGGAACGAAAAGGCUCUGGUUAAUACCUGGGGCUCAUGACGGUACCGUAAGAAUAAGCACCGGCUAACUACGUGCCAGCAGCCGCGGUAAUACGUAGGGUGCAAGCGUUAAUCGGAAUUACUGGGCGUAAAGCGUGCGCAGGCGGUUAUAUAAGUCAGAUGUGAAAUCCCCGGGCUCAACCUGGGACCUGCAUUUGAGACUGUAUAGCUAGAGUACGGUAGAGGGGGAUGGAAUUCCGCGCGUAGCAGUGAAAUGCGUAGAUAUGCGGAGGAACACCGAUGGCGAAGGCAAUCCCCUGGACCUGUACUGACGCUCAUGCACGAAAGCGUGGGGAGCAAACA
RNAcentral lists this ribosomal RNA (427 nucleotides) under uncultured bacterium. Its description in RNAcentral is "bacterial SSU rRNA". It matches the Rfam family "Bacterial small subunit ribosomal RNA", at positions 355 to 774 of the family's 1533-position model. The record is from RNAcentral.